GACGAACGCUGGCGGCGUGCUUAGCACAUGCAAGUCGAAAGAAGAGCGAUGGAAGCUUGCUUCUAUCAAUCUUAGUGGCGAACGGGUGAGUAACGCGUAAUCAACCUGCCCUUCAGAGGGGGACAACAGUUGGAAACGACUGCUAAUACCGCAUACGAUCUAAUCUCGGCAUCGAGGAUAGAUGAAAGGUGGCCUCUACAUGUAAGCUAUCACUGAAGGAGGGGAUUGCGUCUGAUUGGCUAGUUGGAGGGGUAACGGCCCACCAAGGCGAUGAUCAGUAGCCGGUCUGAGAGGAUGAACGGCCACAUUGGGACUGAGACACGGCCCAGACUCCUACGGGAGGCGGCAGUGGGGAAUCUUCCGCAAUGGACGAAAGUCUGACGGAGCAACGCCGCGUGAGUGAUGACGGCCUUCGGGUUGUAAAGCUCUGUUAAUCGGGACGAAAGGCCUUCUUGCGAAUAGUUAGAAGG
RNAcentral lists this ribosomal RNA (470 nucleotides) under uncultured Veillonella sp. Its description in RNAcentral is "bacterial SSU rRNA". It matches the Rfam family "Bacterial small subunit ribosomal RNA", at positions 28 to 475 of the family's 1533-position model. The record is from RNAcentral. Lineage: Bacteria; Bacillati; Bacillota; Negativicutes; Veillonellales; Veillonellaceae.